CAGUUAAUAGUUUAUUAAAAAUUUAAUUUUUGGGAAAUUAUGAUGUGUUAACCAACACUUUACUGA
This 66-nucleotide transfer RNA is filed under the name Agnesiella aldera. RNAcentral's name for it is "tRNA-Pro". The record is from RNAcentral. RNAcentral also lists the same sequence under 1 other name. Lineage: Eukaryota; Metazoa; Arthropoda; Insecta; Hemiptera; Cicadellidae.